UAAAUAGAUAAAAUAUUGGAUUUCCACACAAUAAGACUGCCCUGAACUAUUCGCACUUUAUCUUUUGGAAAACUUGUGUUGGGAGAGAAAAGAAACUGGUUUCUCAUUAUGAACUGAAGAAGUGCAGCUGAGCUAUUUAUACACAUUGACAAAGAAUCCAGCUAAGCAAAACUAACAAACAAACUAAGCUAACUGACUAACAGAAUAAGUUACAAGAGAAGCUCCCAGCAGCUUUGAGAUUUGAGAGUCUCACACUUCUCAACAUCUUUUUAAUGGUUUCACCAGGCCACUCUUAUCUGUGGCCAUAUUUACAGUUAUAUUUGUUCUUCCCAUUCCAAUUAAUGACUCUUGCAAAAAUGUUUGGAACUUUGGGUGGACAAUUAUAUUUUCCAUUAUAAUUAUUUGUGCUUUUUGUAUUGGUUACCUAAUAUCAAUCACUCCUCUUUCCCAAAAAAAAAAAAAAAUAAA
Molecule: unclassified non-coding RNA, 468 nt
Filed under: Hevea brasiliensis (rubber tree)
Lineage: Eukaryota; Viridiplantae; Streptophyta; Magnoliopsida; Malpighiales; Euphorbiaceae
Source: RNAcentral